Molecule: ribosomal RNA, 409 nt
Filed under: uncultured bacterium
Lineage: Bacteria
Description: bacterial SSU rRNA
Rfam family: Bacterial small subunit ribosomal RNA
Source: RNAcentral
UUGGAUUGGGGGGAACCCUGAUCAGCCUGCCGCGUGUGUGAAGAAGGCCUUUUGGUUGUAAAGCACUUUAAGCGAGGAGGAGGCUACUCUAGUUAAUACCUAGGGAUAGUGGACGUUACUCGCAGAAUAAGCACCGGCUAACUCUGUGCCAGCAGCCGCGGUAAUACAGAGGGUGCGAGCGUUAAUCGGAUUUACUGGGCGUAAAGCGUGCGUAGGUGGCCAAUUAAGUCAAAUGUGAAAUCCCCGAGCUUAACUUGGGAAUUGCAUUCGAUACUGGUUGGCUAGAGUAUGGGAGAGGAUGGUAGAAUUCCAGGUGUAGCGGUGAAAUGCGUAGAGAUCUGGAGGAAUACCGAUGGCGAAGGCAGCCAUCUGGCCUAGUACUGACACUGAGGUACGAAAGCAUGGGGAG